Molecule: long non-coding RNA, 625 nt
Filed under: Triticum aestivum (bread wheat)
Lineage: Eukaryota; Viridiplantae; Streptophyta; Magnoliopsida; Poales; Poaceae
Description: long non-coding RNA (TAES_LNC002715)
Source: RNAcentral
CUGGUUCCUGCCAAGUGUCAUUUCUUCAUGUGGUUAUGGCUUCGGGGAAGAAUCCAAACAAAUGACAAUCUGGAGAUUCAUGGCAUUCCCUGUAAUGAUGCAUGCAACUUAUGUGAUCAAGAAGAUGAAUACCCUUUGCACCUUAUUCUGAAAUGCUCCUAUGCUAGAACAGUUUGGCAGCAGGUUGCGAACUGGAGUGACACCCCUGCUUUGGCCACUCAUGCCCAAGAAACUGAGUCCAUCACGGAGUGGUCAAAUGAGCACACCUGCAACUUGCCCAAGAAACUGAGUCCAUCACGGAGUGGUCAAAUGAGCACACCUGCAACUUGCCCAAGAAACAUGUAUCCACUGCAAUCUACACUGCAUGGAAUCUAUGGAAAGAGUGUAACAGGCGAGUCUUGGAGCGCAAGUUCUUAAAUGAAGCUGCUCUUUUAUCCAAUGAAGCAAGAUAUAUUGCAACCGAGUUUCUCCUUCUGCUGGAUAAUCGAUGUUCAAAAUGCACCAGAACCUGAGCCUGACUAGUUCUCUAUUAGCUUGGUGUGGGACACCUUAACCCCAACCUCUUGUAAAACAAGGAAUUUGUAUUUGUUUUCUCCUACUUAAUAUAUCGGCAGCAAAACUGCCA